RNAcentral lists this non-coding RNA (177 nucleotides) under Lactobacillus delbrueckii subsp. delbrueckii. RNAcentral describes it as "Lysine". It matches the Rfam family "Lysine riboswitch aptamer". From Rfam's summary of the family: Riboswitches are metabolite binding domains within certain messenger RNAs that serve as precision sensors for their corresponding targets. The record is from RNAcentral. Lineage: Bacteria; Bacillati; Bacillota; Bacilli; Lactobacillales; Lactobacillaceae.
ACAAAUUGAAGAGGCGCAACCGACAAGAGUAAGGCAAGGGAGCCAGCCAGGCGGAGAACUUGCAAGAAAGGGGAGGUUGCCGAAGCGUCCGUUUUGGCAAGGCGGAUUGGCUGGGCUAUGGCUUAAGAGGCCAUGGACUGUCGCAGGGAAGGUACCUGCGUUGCGCUUGCAAUUUGA